Molecule: ribosomal RNA, 512 nt
Filed under: uncultured bacterium
Lineage: Bacteria
Description: partial 16S ribosomal RNA
Rfam family: Bacterial small subunit ribosomal RNA
Source: RNAcentral
GAUGAACGCUGGCGGCGUGCCUAAUACAUGCAAGUCGAACGACACUUCUUUAUCACCGAGCGCUUGCACUAACCGAUUAAGAGUUGAGUGGGGAAUGCGUGAGAAACACGUGUUCAAUGUGCGCAAAAGAGGGGAAUAACACUCGAAAACAGGUGCUAAUCUCGCAUAACAAUAAUUACCGCUUGGUAACUAUCUCAAAGGAGGCUAUACUACUGCUUUUAGCUGGGUCGGCGGCGCAUUAGCUAGUUGGUCGGGUAAAGGCUUACCAAGGCAAUGAUUCGUAGCUGGACUGAGAGGAUGAUCAGCCACACUGGAACUGAGACACGGCCCAGACUCCUACGGGAGGCAGCAGUGGGGAAUCUUGGACAAUGGGCGAAAGCCUGAUGGAGCAAUGCCGCGUGGGUGAAGAAGGUCUUCGGGUUGUAAAGCCCUGUUGUUAGGAAAGAAAAGGCGUAGGAUAAACUCUUCACGUUUCGACGGUAUCUAACGAGAAAGCAACGGCUAACUUCGUG